This 490-nucleotide ribosomal RNA is filed under the name uncultured bacterium. RNAcentral describes it as "partial 16S ribosomal RNA". It matches the Rfam family "Bacterial small subunit ribosomal RNA", at positions 30 to 507 of the family's 1533-position model. The record is from RNAcentral.
AUUGAACGCUGGCGGCAGGCCUAACACAUGCAAGUCGAAUGGUAACAGGAAACAGCUUGCUGUUUCGCUGACGAGUGGCGGACGGGUGAGUAAUGUCUGGGAAACUGCCUGAUGGAGGGGGAUAACUACUGGAAACGGUAGCUAAUACCGCAUAACGUCGCAAGACCAAAGAGGGGGACCUUCGGGCCUCUUGCCAUCAGAUGUGCCCAGAUGGGAUUAGCUAGUAGGUGGGGGAACGGCUCACCUAGGCGACGAUCCCUAGCUGGUCUGAGAGGAUGACCAGCCACACUGGAACUGGGCCACGGUCCAGACUCCUACGGGAGGCAGCAGUGGGGAAUAUUGCACAAUGGGCGCAAGCCUGCUGCAGCCAUGCCGCGUGUAUGAAGAAGGCCUUCGGGUUGUAAAGUACUUUCAGCGGGGAGGAAGGGAGUAAAGUUAAUACCUUUGCUCAUUGACGUUACCCGCAGAAGAAGCACCGGCUAACUCCGUG